ACAAAUCAUCGUAUUUCCUCAGAAUUCAUGUUGCAAGAGUGAAUUAAACAAGAUGAUGCAGUUUUCUGAAACAGUUCUUUAAAGAUGAAUCUUAACCAAACAUCUGCAUCUUCUUUCCUCUCCAGGCCAUGAGGACCCAGGAGGAUUUGAUGUUCGGAUCCUGCCAAAGCUAUUCUCAGCACCAUAACUGCAUUCUCUUUAUUUCUAAGUUCUACACAGUUUAGCUUACUUCUUUAUGUCAGUUCAGUCUUCAGUUGAAGCUUCUUGCAGGCCAGCUUUCAAAUGAAAACUACCAUAAGAGAAGCCGAGUUGCUAUCUUAAAGCAAAUAGCAAGUGUUAAGUAGCACUGGAAGCAAAUAUUUGGGGCUACGACAUCUGUUCUGAUCCAGUCAUCACCUGACUAGCCUAUGUGUUACAGACCGAAUGAAAACACAAUACAACCAUUACUGUAAAACAGCAACUUCAAACAUGAGAGUUGUAAUGCUAUAAUGUGAUAGAAGAUAAUAGCUGGGUAGCAAAGUCUUUGGCUGCAGCAAAUGAGGACAAGCCCAAAUGCAGCAGCUGUAGACAUAGAAAUGAAGGAAAAGCGCUACUUAGCUUUGGAAGGCCUCAAGCAGGCAAGGUUCUCCAGUGAGAGACUCUUACCUCCACUGCCAAACCUUAAAUGAGGUCUGGGAAGGGGUGGAUCCUGGCUCCACCCUCUCUGGUUACUCAGGUGCACUGCAUGCACUUGAGCUCCCCUGAGUUGGCCCUGCCUUCUCACCAGGUGCUCAAUCACUGGUUCAGGCUGUGACUUAGCAUUUCUGCUACAGGGGUGAAGGGGAGAAAGGAUAUAAAUAUCUUCUGGCAUUUUUUACUCUUUAUUCUGGAAGGGAGAAGGCUGCAUAUCUCAUAGUACAUGUGUACACAGCAAAUGUGCAGAAUGCUAGCUCCUAGGUGCUUGGUUAGAAGGAUGACAACAUGGCACAUGAAAUCAUUCCCUGACUUCCUGAUGGCUCCUGUGAUGACAGCACUCUUAUUCCUCCAAUUGUGAAGCCUUACAGUUCCCAAACCAGGCACCUUCUGAAGAUCUGAAAAUGUAAGUUAACCUAAAAAUGAACUAGAGCACAGCCAUGGUGAACUGGGUGCCAACACUUCCAUCUUUGCAGGAUGAUAAGUUGUUUCCCCAAAAAUAACUCACUGCAGCAGAAUGUCA
This is a long non-coding RNA of Numida meleagris (helmeted guineafowl), 1195 nucleotides long. The record is from Ensembl. Lineage: Eukaryota; Metazoa; Chordata; Aves; Galliformes; Numididae.